AGUGAACGCUGGCGGUAGGCCUAACACAUGCAAGUCGAACAGCAGCACAGUAAGAGCUUGCUCUUACGGGUGGCGAGUGGCGGACGGGUGUGGAAUACAUCGGAAUCUACUUUUUCGUGGGGGAUAACGUAGGGAAACUUACGCUAAUACCGCAUACGACCUACGGGUGAAAGCAGGGGAUCUUCGGACCUUGCGCGAUUGAAUGAGCCGAUGUCGGAUUAGCUAGUUGGCGGGGUAAAGGCCCACCAAGGCGACGAUCCGUAGCUGGUCUGAGAGGAUGAUCAGCCACACUGGAACUGAGACACGGUCCAGACUCCUACGGGAGGCAGCAGUGGGGAAUAUUGGACAAUGGGCGCAAGCCUGAUCCAGCCAUACCGCGUGGGUGAAGAAGGCCUUCGGGUUGUAAAGCCCUUUUGUUGGGAAAGAAAAGCAGCAGGUUAAUACCCCGCUGUUCUGACGGUACCCAAAGAAUAAGCACCGGCUAACUUCGUG
This 492-nucleotide ribosomal RNA is filed under the name uncultured bacterium. RNAcentral's name for it is "partial 16S ribosomal RNA". It matches the Rfam family "Bacterial small subunit ribosomal RNA", at positions 29 to 507 of the family's 1533-position model. The record is from RNAcentral.